Molecule: long non-coding RNA, 492 nt
Filed under: Theobroma cacao (cacao)
Lineage: Eukaryota; Viridiplantae; Streptophyta; Magnoliopsida; Malvales; Malvaceae
Description: long non-coding RNA (TCAC_LNC000271)
Source: RNAcentral
GCUUGAAUUCCACAGGUAUAGCUCAAAAUUUUCUUACACCCAUGGUCACCAUUGCUGCCGCAAACAUAAACAAUUAAUACACAUCUCAUUUCUUUUAUUUACUUGUGAUUUUAAGACCAAAAUACUUACCCAUAACUUAUCUAGCUCAAAAUCACCAUGGGUUCCAAGAUUGACCCACAAGCAUGCAUCUAUUUAUUUCAAUUCUUGGAGGACCUUUGCUACCACAAACAUUCUCACACAAUUACCAACUCAUUUCCUUAAGAAAUCACAACUAAAAUCAAAGUUCUACUUACUUUCCUUAGCUUGAAAUUUCUAAAUCGAACCACCAAAUCUCUUUUUCUUCUUUCUCCUUUCUUUCUUUCUUCAUUUCUUCCUUUCUCCCUUUCUCUCUUUGCUUCCAAGCCGAUUCUCUCUCUUUUUCUUUCCAAAGGUGCGAGUUUUCUCAAGGCAAAAGCCUUGAAAAUGGCUUUCACUUUCUCAUUUUGCCCACAC